Girardinichthys multiradiatus is the source of this 522-nucleotide long non-coding RNA. RefSeq lists it as uncharacterized. The record is from RefSeq and is a predicted model, not a curated record. NCBI's taxonomy places the organism in Eukaryota, Metazoa, Chordata, Actinopteri, Cyprinodontiformes, Goodeidae. The transcript has 3 exons.
UUAUAGUGUUCUUAGUCCAUCUAGAGUUAUUUUCCUGAUAGAUUUCUGUUACAUCCCUGGACUUGUCUGUGUUCCUGCUCAUCUGUGUUAAUUCACCUUGCUCCUUCAGUUGUUCUGCAAUCUCUCUGCCACAGCUGCUCAACAUUUGAUCUGAUUAGCUCUUUUGAUUCAUUGGUCAUUUAUCCACCCUGCCUCUGUAUUUAAACUCAAUAAUUUUUAUUGGUCACUGCUGGAUUCUACUGCUUGCCUCCUGAUUCUAUGCCCGGUUCAUGCCAGUGUUCUGCCUUUUUUUUAAUGGGUAUGAAAUGGAAGUAGGUUGGGACGAAAUGACAACACGUUGCUUUGAAAUGAGGGCACAGACUUGGCAAAGAUCAUCAAGUCCUUUCCUGGUCUAGUUCCAGGAAGUCUCACUUCCUUGUGCAAGACCAUUUUUCUUUUGUUUUCAGGGCUGACAUGGCUCCAUCUUCCCAUCAACUGUGUAUCCCUUUCUCUGUUGAAAAAAGCAUCCCCACAACAUGAUGC